This 495-nucleotide ribosomal RNA is filed under the name Megaphragma digitatum. RNAcentral's name for it is "partial large subunit ribosomal RNA". The record is from RNAcentral. Lineage: Eukaryota; Metazoa; Arthropoda; Insecta; Hymenoptera; Trichogrammatidae.
AAACCGUUCAGGGGUAAACCUGAGAAACCCAAAAGAUCGAAUGGGGAGACUCAGCGUCAGCCGCUUGUUGGCUUGCGUGCGGCUCGCGAUGCUCUCGGGUGGCCUUUCACGAGGUCUUUCACGAGGGCACGCGGUCGCUGCGUCAUGUCCGGCGCGGUCGGCGUGCACUUCUCCCCUAGUAGGACGUCGCGACCCGUUGGGUGUCGACCGACGGCCCGCGAGGUAGCCUGGGGCGCAGCGCGUUAAUAGCGCGCUCGCGUCUCAGACCCGCGUGUGCCCGGCUCGACUGCCCGGCGGUAGAGAUCGCUUAUGAUAAUGGUAUGGGGUCGCACGCUCAUGUAAAUCUGCGAUGCGUUUCGGCCCGUCGACAGACUGGCCUCGCUCGGCGUUUACGGACCUGGUGCCGUUGCCGAGCGCUUGGUCGGUCCAAUUCGACGGUGUCCUCGAACGGGCCCUGCUUUAAAACAUACCCGUCGGCGACGCUACUGCUUUGGG